GAUAUACUCCCUCCGUCCUGAAUUACUUGUCUUAGAUUUGUCUAGAUAAAGAUACAGACACGUUUUACUGUUAGAUACAUCAGUAUCUAGACAAAUCUAAGACGAGUAAUUUGGGACGGAGGUUGUAGUAA
Molecule: non-coding RNA, 131 nt
Organism: Triticum aestivum (bread wheat)
Lineage: Eukaryota; Viridiplantae; Streptophyta; Magnoliopsida; Poales; Poaceae
Source: Rfam